This 234-nucleotide ribosomal RNA is filed under the name uncultured bacterium. Its description in RNAcentral is "partial 16S ribosomal RNA". It matches the Rfam family "Bacterial small subunit ribosomal RNA", at positions 15 to 240 of the family's 1533-position model. The record is from RNAcentral.
GAUCAUGGCUCAGGAUGAACGCUAGCUACAGGCUUAACACAUGCAAGUCGAGGGGCAGCAUGGUCUUAGCUUGCUAAGGCCGAUGGCGACCGGCGCACGGGUGAGUAACGCGUAUCCAACCUGCCUUACACUCUUGAACAGCCUUCUGAAAGGGGGAUUAAUACAAGAUGUUAUCAUGAGUAAGCAUUUUCGCAUGAUUAAAGGUUUACCGGUGUAAGAUGGGGAUGCGUUCCA